UGGGGAAUAUUGCACAAUGGAGGGAACUCUGAUGCAGCGACGCCGCGUGAGUGAUGAAGGAAUUCGUUUCGUAAAACUCUGUUCUAUGGGAAGAAAAGGACUGUACCAUAGGAGAAAGCUCCGGCUAAAUACGUGCCAGCAGCCGCGGUAAUACGUAUGGAGCGAGCGUUGUCCGGAAUUAUUGGGCGUAAAGGGUGCGCAGGCGGCUUUACAAGUUGGAUGUGAAAUAUUGUGGCUCAACCACAAACGUGCAUCCAAAACUGCAAAGCUUGAGUUAAGGAGAGGUAAGUGGAAUUCCUGGUGUAGCGGUGGAAUGCGUAGAUAUCAGGAGGAAUACCGGUGGCAAAGGCGACUUACUGGACUUAAACUGACGCUCAGGCACGAAAGCGUGGGGAGCAAACAGG
RNAcentral lists this ribosomal RNA (404 nucleotides) under Fusobacteriota bacterium. Its description in RNAcentral is "Fusobacteria bacterium partial 16S ribosomal RNA". It matches the Rfam family "Bacterial small subunit ribosomal RNA", at positions 355 to 776 of the family's 1533-position model. The record is from RNAcentral. Lineage: Bacteria; Fusobacteriati; Fusobacteriota.